CAUAUCACUGUCAUUAGUAUAAUAUGACCCUAGCAGGUACUGAGCACAUAAACAUAUCACUGUCAUUAGUAUAAUAUGGCCCUAGCAGGUACUGAGCCCAUAAACAUAUCACUGUCAUUAGUACAAUAUGACCCUAGCAGGUACUGAGCCCAUAAACAUAUCACUGUCAUUAGUAUAGUAUGGCACUAGCAGGUACUGAGCCCAUAAACAUAUCACACUCAUUAGUAUAAUAUGACCCUAGCAGGUACUGAGCCCAUAAACAUAUCACACUCAUUAGUAUAAUAUGACCCUAGCAGGUACUGAGCCCAUAAACAUAUCACUGUCAUUAGUAUAAUAUGACCCUAGCAGGUACUGAGCCCAUAAACAUAUCACUGUCAUUAGUAUAAUAUGACCCUAGCAGGUACUGAGCCCAUAAACAUAUCACUGUCAUUAGUAUAAUAUGGCACUAGCAGGUACUGAGCCCAUAAACAUAUCACUGUCAUUAGUAUAAUAUGACCCUAGCAGGUACUGAGCCCAUAAACAUAUCACACUCAUUAGUAUAAUAUGACCCUAGCAGGUAUUGAGCCCAUAAACAUAUCACUGUCAUUAGUAUAAUAUGACCCUAGCAGGUACUGAGCCCAUAAACAUAUCACUGUCAUUAGUAUAAUAUGACCCUAGCAGGUACUGAGCCCAUAAACAUAUCACUGUCAUUAGUAUAAUAUGGCCCUAGCAGGUACUGAGCUUAUAAACAUAUCACUGUCAUUAGUAUAAUAUGGCCCUAGCAGGUACUGAGCCCAUAAACAUAUCACUGUCAUUAGUAUAAUAUGGCCCUAGCAGGUACUGAGCCCAUAAACAUAUCACUGUCAUUAGUAUAA
Molecule: long non-coding RNA, 854 nt
Organism: Bombina bombina (fire-bellied toad)
Lineage: Eukaryota; Metazoa; Chordata; Amphibia; Anura; Bombinatoridae
Exons: 3
Source: RefSeq, a predicted model, not a curated record